AUAAAUAAAAAUUUUACUUAGUCGUGUAUUUUUUGUUUCAUAGACUAAUAAAUGAGGUUUAGAUAAAAGAACCUGAAGUUAAGUAUUAGAUUUUAUAAUAGUAGAAGAACUAAAGGGGUUUAAAGUUUAGUUUCUUAAAUUAUAAAAUGAUUAUGAUAAGUGUAGUGAACUUAAAGAUAGCCGGUAACUUAAAUUAAUAUAAUAAAAGUUUUUAAAGGAAAGCUUUAAAAACAUAAAAACUUCAAUUUUAAUUAAAUAAACGGAGAUUUGGGAGGUGAAUUGUUAUAAAAAGUAUAACAACUUAAAAGUAUUUAGGAGAUAAAGUUAUUAUAUUUAAGUUAUUAAUUAUUAUAUUUUAAUGUUGGUAUUAGUAAAAUUAAAAAAUUAAAAAAGAACUCGGCAUUCCUCCAACUGUUUGCAAAAACAUUGCCGCAUUGUAAAAAAAUGAGGUAUGGCCUGCUCAAUGUUUAAAUUUAAAUAAAUAGCCGCGGUAAUUUGACCGUGCAAAGGUAGCGUAAUUACUUGUUCUUUAAUUAGGAACCUGUUUGAAAGGGUAAAAUGAGGGGAAAAUUUUUUUUUUAAUUUUGAUUGAAUUUAUAGUUGAAUUAAAAAUAAUUUUAAAUUUUAAUAAGAAGAGAAGACCCUAUAAAUUUUUUCUCUUUAGUAUAAAAAUUAAGUAGUAAAAGAGGUUUGGUGGGGCACCAACAUUAAAAUAAGUUGUUAUUUUAUGGAAUGUUUUUCAACAAAAAGAUAUUUAGGGAUAACAGGAUAAUCAAAAGUUUGAGAUCUUAUUGAUCUUUUGGUUUAUUACAUCGAUGUUGAAUUAAUUACCCAUAAAUAUGCAGGGGUAUUUUUUAAGGGUGGCCUGUUCGGCCAUUAAAUGAUUACAUGAUUUGAGUUAAGACCGGCGAAAGUCAGGUUGGUUUCUAUCUAUUAAGGGUAAAGAAUUGUACGAAAGGACUUAUCUAAAUUUAUG
Molecule: ribosomal RNA, 976 nt
Filed under: Syndesmis kurakaikina
Lineage: Eukaryota; Metazoa; Platyhelminthes; Rhabdocoela; Umagillidae
Description: 16S ribosomal RNA
Rfam family: Archaeal large subunit ribosomal RNA (bases 626-936)
Source: RNAcentral